Molecule: ribosomal RNA, 373 nt
Filed under: uncultured Glomeromycotina
Lineage: Eukaryota; Fungi; Glomeromycota
Description: LSU rRNA
Source: RNAcentral
UUGAAAGGGAAACGAUUGAAGUCAGUCGUACCAGCGGGAAUCAACCUUUCGAGUGGGGGUUNGGAGUUUUGAAGAGUUUCAAAACCUUUGAGAUUUCAAAAAUUUCGCUCUUUUGGUGUACUUUCUCGUGGGUAGGUUAACAUCGAUUUUGAUCAUCAUAAAAAGAUUGGAGGAAUGUAGCUUCGAUCUUGUAUUGGAGUGUUAUAGCCUUUGGUAAAUGUGAUGAUUAGGAUCGAGGAUUGCAACGAAUACCCUUUUGGGCUAUCCGCCUGAUCUCUGAUACGUGGCCUUGGUAUCGAAAGCUUGCUUAUGGUAUUAAGGUAUUACGGUCAAAAGGUUAGAACGGAUUACAUUCGUUAAGGAUGUUGACGUA